GUGUCUCCCUGGAGCGCUAAUCCUGGCAGCUACUGAGCCCUUCUCUCUGAGGACUGGUGCCAUUUCAGGGACCCAACGCAAAAUGGAUAAUAAAACUUUAAGGAAAUCGUUCAUUGAGUUGCAAGAUGUGAAGAGAGUGCUAUAUAAAAUGGACAGAGUCCUGGGCUCCAGACCUGAUUUCUCUGUGUCUAAGCAUUUCUGUGAGUCACAGUAUGGCGGCUGAACUGGAGAUUGGAAAGCAGAACUGGCACAGAGUCCAGGUGACAAGGAUGAAGCAUGGAAGGCUGAGGAGCCCGACAUAGGGUCUGUAACCUAGUAAAUGACAACAGCAAACAGAAACGAAGGACAGGAGCAACAUGAGGAAGGCACGCGAUUGAAUUGAUACGUUUACUCCGUGAACCAUUCCGAGGACAUCUGCGGGAUGCUGCCAUCCUCCUCUUCUCUGUGGCUGGACAGGGCCGUCUGCCCUGAGGCCACAGAGUUGCCUGGUCUUGGGAGAUGCUCUCUCAGCUGCGAGUCUCCUGUGCCAGGAGCACUACCAGGCACUGUUUCUCAGGCCUCCUGAUCUCUGUUUGGUUUGCAUGUUGCUCAAAUCGGAUCCACCCUUCCAGGCUGGCCUCUUGCCUUUUUCUUAGGUCCAAGGGACCAAUGUCUGCAUACAGGUGAGGUACUUCGCUGAGUUGCUUUCAUCAUGACUGCCAGUGCUGUGUGCAGGGCUGCGAGCAAGCCACCACGCCACGCCAUGCAGCAGCACUGGCAAGAGAGUUGCAAGCACUAUAGCAAGAGCUGGGGGUGGUGACUGUGAGCUCCGUGGAAAAAGUAUCUUCAGUUGGACCUGGUGUGGACUUGGUUUGGUUUCCAAUGGCUCUAGUAAUCCCUGAGCCUAGUCUUCCAGCCAUAUCAAGCAGUGCACCUGACAUGUGAGCCAGGGCAUCUCAGACCCUGUGGACCAGCCACAUUCCAGCUGAGUACCUCUGACUAACCUCAGUUGGUACCAGAAUCUCUCAGCAAGCCCAGUCUGAACCCUGACCCAGAGAACCAUGAGCCCUAACAAAAUAGUAGUGGUUUUAAACCACAAAAUAUGGGGGUAGUUUGUUAUGCAGCAAUAGAUAACUAAAACACUAGACAUAAACGGAAGAAACUUUGCUGUCUGCUUUUGAUAAAUUUAGGACGAUUUUGUGUGAUUUACCCCAACCAUCUGUUUCUGUCCAUGAUAAUUUCAUUUUGCUCAAAAUUUGGAUCAAGUUACCUUUUAACGGAGCUAAACCUUCACCUGGGUUCACUGACAGCUUCCUGAGCCUCAGCAAAGCUUUCAGGCUCCCCAGCUGUGGCCAAGCUGGCAGUAGAGUCCCGCCUCCAGCUGCAGGCACACUCAAGCUUGCCCCAGCACCACAGCUAGCUACAUGCAGCUACCUUCCACUGUGAUUUUGCAAAAAUUGCCACAAGUUGCAACUGUGGCUGCAGAAGUUAUUUUGCAUGGGCCUGGAUAAACAAUGUACAGAUGACAUUUUCUCAGGAGCCCCACAUACCACAAAGGGCAUCUUCGUAUUUGUUGUCUUGCCUUCCUCAGAGGCAGAGUGCAUUAUUUCUACAUGGCUGUGUCCACCAUCUACAGGGAGAUCUGGAACUAAGUCAUUUUAAAAUGAAUAGGAAGUCAAUGAGAAUUGAAUAAGACCAAGCCAUUGAACUGUUUUGUUUUAGCUCUGGCUUAGGCGAAGUCCCCAGUUCCUGAAUAGUAUAGGAAGGAGAGUAGGAGUGGGUAGUGCCCUCAGGAUCAAGUAAGUACCAGAAACGUGAGUGUCAUUCUUUCAGUAUGCCAACAUGACUGGCAUGGCUUCAUAGUCAGAGGGAUGUGGGUUCAGACCUGAGCUUACUAUGUACAUAUAAGAUAUGUAUUCUGAGCUUUAGUUUCUCAUUAGUCAAAUGGGUAAACCUUCCCUCAGUCAACCUCACAGGCAAUAUGAGGAUGUCUUAUUUGGGGCUUGAUAGAAGCAGACCCUGAGACAAGGCUAAGUGCAGGUGGUUUAUCAGGAAGAGGAGGGAUCAAAGGUGGCAGAGUGGGCACUGACAAGGAAAGGAUGACAACCAGCAAGAAGUUCAUUAUCAAGCCAGUUACCACGGUGGAAAUUGCAGCUUCAUCCCAAGGAAGAAUCUCCGCAAAGGUGUAGACUUGAUGAUUACUAUUCCCAUUUUACAGAUGAGGAAAUGGAAGUACAGUGAGAUAUUAGACAUCUUUUUCCAAGGUCGCAGUGCUAUCAAGUGGCAGAAUCAGAAUUUAAUCCAGGUUGCUGCCAUAAAAUAAUGAAAACACACACACAUGUAUUUCUCUAAAUUCACUGUAGAGCAUGGUGUCCAUGUCAUAAAUUAUUUUUUUUUCCCUUUCUGUACCAGCAUUCAACAAAGCAAAUAUUUGUAUAUGGCCAUUUGGAAAUUGGUAUUGAUAAAUAUACUAUUAUCAGCUUUAAAAACUUUAAUUAUAUAAUCCAGUUAUAUCAAAUUUUUAGCACAUCCAAGAGAUUGAUAGUAUACUGGUAGCUCUGGAGGGUAAUUGGGGAAUGGGUUUCACUGCUAAGGGCUACAGAGCUUCCUUUUUGCAGUGAGAAAAAAUAUUCUAAAAUAUGGAUGGUGAUGUUGCAGGACUUUGAAAAUACAAAAAAAAAUGUUGAAUUAUACAUUUGAAAAGUAUGUGAUGCUUUUUUUGAUAUUUGAAUUUUAUCUCAAUAAAUUUGG
Marmota flaviventris (yellow-bellied marmot) is the source of this 2730-nucleotide long non-coding RNA. RefSeq lists it as uncharacterized. The record is from RefSeq and is a predicted model, not a curated record. Lineage: Eukaryota; Metazoa; Chordata; Mammalia; Rodentia; Sciuridae.